This 24-nucleotide microRNA is filed under the name Caenorhabditis briggsae. Its description in RNAcentral is "Cbr-Mir-7594-P2b_5p* (star (passenger))". The record is from RNAcentral. Lineage: Eukaryota; Metazoa; Nematoda; Chromadorea; Rhabditida; Rhabditidae.
CCGGGACUGAUCGUAGCCUUCAAC